UACGGGGGGAGCAAGCGUUGUUCGGAUUUACUGGGCGUAAAGGGCGCGUAGGCGGCAAUUCAAGUCAUCUGUGAAAUCUCUGGGCUUAACUCGGAAUGGUCAGGUGAUACUGCUUUGCUAGAGUGCAGAAGGGGCAAUCGGAAUUCUUGGUGUAGCGGUGAAAUGCGUAGAUAUCAAGAGGAACACCUGAGGUGAAGACGGGUUGCUGGGCUGACACUGACGCUGAGGCGCGAAAGCUAGGGGAGCAAACGGG
RNAcentral lists this ribosomal RNA (253 nucleotides) under uncultured bacterium. Its description in RNAcentral is "partial 16S ribosomal RNA". It matches the Rfam family "Bacterial small subunit ribosomal RNA", at positions 524 to 776 of the family's 1533-position model. The record is from RNAcentral.